This 252-nucleotide ribosomal RNA is filed under the name uncultured bacterium. RNAcentral describes it as "partial 16S ribosomal RNA". It matches the Rfam family "Bacterial small subunit ribosomal RNA", at positions 524 to 775 of the family's 1533-position model. The record is from RNAcentral.
UACAGAGGGUGCGAGCGUUAAUCGGAGUUACUGGGCGUAAAGGGCGCGUAGGUGGUUUAAUAAGUGAGAUGUGAAAUCCCUGGGCUUAACCUAGGAACUGCAUCUUAUACUGUUAGACUCGAGUACUGUAGAGGGUAGUGGAAUUUCCGGUGUAGCGGUGAAAUGCGUAGAGAUCGGAAGGAACACCAGUGGCGAAGGCGGCUACCUGGACAGAUACUGACACUGAGGCGCGAAAGCGUGGGGAGCAAACAG